Leptonychotes weddellii (Weddell seal) is the source of this 628-nucleotide non-coding RNA. NCBI's taxonomy places the organism in Eukaryota, Metazoa, Chordata, Mammalia, Carnivora, Phocidae. The record is from RefSeq and is a predicted model, not a curated record.
GACAGCGGGCUAUUAGCACCCAGUUAUUGAAAUUACUUCCUUGCUUUUACCUCUAGGGGCCUUGCCCAUCUUGUUUACACCAGAUCCAAGAGUGCUCAAUAUUUGUUGAAUGAAUAUUCAAAGUUCCAGGAACACUUGAGGAGCUGCUGAAGAGUUUCAUGUUAAUUGCCUAUUCAUCCAGUUGCACAUCACAAAAAAGUGCGCUGGAGGACAACUUUCCAUCUGGAUCAAGUCUCCGAGUGAGCAGCAGCAGCAAGCAAGGGAAGGCGGACUAGUCUGGAUUACAGCAGGGCAAAAGGAGUCCAACCCCAUCUUGGGGCCAGUAGUCAUGACAAAGGAGCCCAGAGCCUUCGGACCCUCUUACCGUGACGAAGACAACAUUGUUGGGGAAGACUGAUGUGUCCGCUCCAUCCAAGGGCACUUGGGGUGCAGCAAUGGGACCCCGGCUGGCUGUCAGCGAGGCUGGGAAGCAGCUUCUCUUUCGGACGGUUACAGUCCCUUCCUCACUCUCUGCCCCUGGGUCCCCCUCAGAAGUCUGGGAUGGCAGACGCAGCUCCUCCGACAGGUAGUGUCGAAUAUUUUGGCGGGCCGAGUGGAUGAGCCGGGAAUCGAUAUCCAGGCCCACCAU